AAGGGAAAGUAGAAAACUAAAAGUAGCUGCUAACUAACUUUUAAGGUGGUUAAAGUCCAUCCAUCCCUUA
RNAcentral lists this transfer RNA (70 nucleotides) under Perittopus sp. HL-2012. RNAcentral's name for it is "tRNA-Ser". Lineage: Eukaryota; Metazoa; Arthropoda; Insecta; Hemiptera; Veliidae. The record is from RNAcentral.